AAGGCUUUACCUUAAUUAAAGUGUCUGUUUUGCAUGCAGAAGAUGUGGGUUAGUGUCCCGCAAGUCUUA
This 69-nucleotide transfer RNA is filed under the name Trachurus symmetricus (Pacific jack mackerel). Its description in RNAcentral is "tRNA-Ala". It matches the Rfam family "tRNA". Rfam says of the family: Transfer RNA (tRNA) molecules are approximately 80 nucleotides in length. Their secondary structure includes four short double-helical elements and three loops (D, anti-codon, and T loops). The record is from RNAcentral. Lineage: Eukaryota; Metazoa; Chordata; Actinopteri; Carangiformes; Carangidae.